Molecule: long non-coding RNA, 1488 nt
Organism: Styela clava
Lineage: Eukaryota; Metazoa; Chordata; Ascidiacea; Stolidobranchia; Styelidae
Source: RefSeq, a predicted model, not a curated record
GAGAAAAGCUCCUUAUCAUAGUUUGUUAAUGUAAACUGCGUAACGUAAGUUAGAUAUUUGUAACUAGAGGAAUAGUUCACUCCUCCGCUGUACGUGACGUUUGUCAGACUGAAUAUACACGAUAUUUGGAUUACAAUAAUGGGACGUAGGAAAAACGUUUGCAGCGCAUAGCAAGCGAGCAAGUUCAAAAGCCUCUCUCGUUAUCUACGAUGUCGUUAACUGGCGGACAUUUGAAAACCAAUGUCACGAGACACGAUUCAGGGUCAUAUUCAAUCAAUUCCAGUGAUAACUCGUGUAGUCAUACAAAGGUGAAAGAAAGAUUCAGUUAUGGGAGUCUCAGCUCCACGAGGGAGAGAAGACUGCCGACACACCGCUAGUUCAACAUUAGAACGACUUGUGGCGUUUUUCAGCACGUACACCAUAAACAUUGUACUAGUGUCGAGACUACAUUUUUAAAGAAGGAUUCAGAUGAUUAUGAUGUAGAAUUAUUGACACUCGAUGACUGUACUACAACGUUAAUCGUCCAGGACGUCUUCACACACGUAGCCGUGAAUCUACUAAUUUGAUGACAUUCGGUAUCGCCAAUGAAAUUCAGCCUAGACGGCGCCGAUGUAUCUGGUUUGAAUGCGGGUGUAGGGAUUAGGGAGAAUUAAUAGGUGAUGAGCGAUUGGUUUUGGCCUUGCAUGUUUGAAAACGCCACCCCUGGCGUUGAAUUUUUUUAUCGUUAUGCUGCAUUACGUGAUAUAUUUUGUUAAAAGAAGCCUCUUUGACAGGCGCCAAUUUGCUAUAAAGGCAAACUUGAAAUCGACUCCGUUAUAGCCCGGAAACGAGCAAUCGAUUGGUCGUUAACUUAACAGAUAACGUCUUGUUGUAGGUGUUCACUGUACCAAUUAUAAUGAUCAUAUUUAUAUAUUCUUAUAAUCAAUAUUUCGAAUGAUACAUUCUGAAAUAUGGCAGGUAUUCAUUCACCCGUGACAUUCACGUGAGUAAUUGAUUCCUAGACUAUUUAUUUACAUUUUAAAUAACCUUCAACUCAUGUAAUUUGCCAAUUAAGCUCGUUGAUGGCCGAGGAAUCGAUAUAACAAGUAAUGUAAAAUCAAUAGCAUGCUAUUUCAAAAGGAAAUAAUAAAUGCUUAGUUCCGUCGAUCAAGUUACGCUUCGUGAGCAAGAUAUAAUCACAAUGUCCCUGAGCUGCCAAAAUGGUCGGAACAGAUGAAUCAAACACUAACUGAUAUCAAAAUGCUUCCCUGUCUAUGUUUAUUCUUUCGCGUAUCUGUUUUGGACAAAACCUCUUUUAUUUUAAAAGAAUAUAUAGUAUUUAUGUAUGACAGAGGCAUCGCUUAACUCCCCAUUUAUACAUAUUUAGAAGGCGUCGAAUCGGACGCUAAUUUACAUGAAGACAGAUAUACAUUUGGGUAUACUCUACAAUAUUAGUCUACUUGCUUUUACACUAUAUAUUUAUCCACAAUAAACGCCUAAUUUACCGUG